This 358-nucleotide ribosomal RNA is filed under the name uncultured Alphaproteobacteria bacterium. RNAcentral's name for it is "bacterial SSU rRNA". It matches the Rfam family "Bacterial small subunit ribosomal RNA", at positions 350 to 725 of the family's 1533-position model. The record is from RNAcentral. Lineage: Bacteria; Pseudomonadati; Pseudomonadota; Alphaproteobacteria.
AGCAGUGGGGAAUCUUGGACAAUGGGGGCAACCCUGAUCCAGCCAUGCCGCGUGAGUGAUGAAGGCCUUAGGGUCGUAAAGCUCUUUCGCCUGUGAUGAUAAUGACAGUAGCAGGUAAAGAAACCCCGGCUAACUCCGUGCCAGCAGCCGCGGUAAUACGGAGGGGGUUAGCGUUGUUCGGAAUUACUGGGCGUAAAGCGCGCGUAGGCGGAUUAGUCAGUUAGAGGUGAAAUUCCAGGGCUCAACCCUGGAACUGCCUUUAAUACUGCUAGUCUUGAGUUCGAGAGAGGUGAGUGGAAUUCCGAGUGUAGAGGUGAAAUUCGUAGAUAUUCGGAGGAACACCAGUGGCGAAGGCGAC